Molecule: ribosomal RNA, 465 nt
Filed under: uncultured bacterium
Lineage: Bacteria
Description: partial 16S ribosomal RNA
Rfam family: Bacterial small subunit ribosomal RNA
Source: RNAcentral
GACGAACGCUGGCGGCGUGCUUAACACAUGCAAGUCGAACGGAAAGGCCCUGCUUGCAGGGUACUCAAGUGGCGAACGGGUGAGUAACACGUGGGUGAUCUGCCCUGCACUUCGGGAUAAGCCUGGGAAACUGGGUCUAAUACCGGAUAGGAGCCAUUUUUAGUGUGAUGGUUGGAAAGUUUUUUCGGUGUAGGAUGAGCUCGCGGCCUAUCAGCUUGUUGGUGGGGUAAUGGCCUACCAAGGCGGCGACGGGUAGCCGGCCUGAGAGGGUGGACGGCCACAUUGGGACUGAGAUACGGCCCAGACUCCUACGGGAGGCAGCAGUGGGGAAUAUUGCACAAUGGGCGCAAGCCUGAUGCAGCGACGCCGCGUGGGGGAUGACGGCCUUCGGGUUGUAAACUCCUUUCGCUAGGGACGAAGCUUUUUGUGUCGGUACCUAGAUAAGAAGCACCGGCUAACUACGUG